AACCCGACUCCAUGAAGCUGGAUUCGCUAGUAAUCGCGCAUCAGCCAUGGCGCGGUGAAUACGUUCCCGGGCCUUGUACACACCGCCCGUCAAGCCAUGGAAGCCGGGAGUGCCUGAAGUGCGUGAGCGUAAGCAGCGCCCUAAGGUAAAACCGGUGACUGGGGCUAAGUCGUAACAAGGUACC
Molecule: ribosomal RNA, 184 nt
Filed under: uncultured bacterium
Lineage: Bacteria
Description: partial 16S ribosomal RNA
Rfam family: Bacterial small subunit ribosomal RNA
Source: RNAcentral